This is a long non-coding RNA of Suricata suricatta (meerkat), 420 nucleotides long. RefSeq lists it as uncharacterized. Lineage: Eukaryota; Metazoa; Chordata; Mammalia; Carnivora; Herpestidae. The transcript has 2 exons. The record is from RefSeq and is a predicted model, not a curated record.
GCUACAGAAGAGGGAAAUCUGACAAAUGGAUUCACCCCAAGAGAAUUAGUGACCACUAUAACUGCAGUAUACAGUGAGCAACCAGAAAGAACUGCAAUUUACAAAAUAAGAUGACUAAUGAACAAUUACUGGUUGCUGGCAGCCAUCUUAUUACCAUGAGGACAGAACCAGCCUCAGUAAAAAGGCAGUGCUGUAGAUGGCAGAGCAGAGAGAAGUAUAGAGCUCAAGCUUUCGAUCACACUGAGUCACUGAAUCAGCCAAACCAGGUGCCUUUUCUUCCUCUGUACCACCUGGUAUGUGAGGCGGUACACAUUUUCCUUGUUUAAGCUACACCACAUGAGAGCAUCUGUUACUUUGGCCACACUUAACUACUUAAUGUCAGAUAUAUUCCUAAAACUCAAUAAAAUGAAAGUAAAUGUA